RNAcentral lists this ribosomal RNA (622 nucleotides) under Scelio zolotarevskyi. RNAcentral describes it as "SSU rRNA". It matches the Rfam family "Eukaryotic small subunit ribosomal RNA", at positions 395 to 960 of the family's 1831-position model. Lineage: Eukaryota; Metazoa; Arthropoda; Insecta; Hymenoptera; Scelionidae. The record is from RNAcentral.
CCUGAGAAACGGCUACCACAUCCAAGGAAGGCAGCAGGCGCGCAAAUUACCCACUCCCGGCACGGGGAGGUAGUGACGAAAAAUAACGAUACGGGACUCAUCCGAGGCCCCGUAAUCGGAAUGAGUACACUUUAAAUCCUUUAACGAGGAUCAAUUGGAGGGCAAGUCUGGUGCCAGCAGCCGCGGUAAUUCCAGCUCCAAUAGCGUAUAUUAAAGUUGUUGCGGUUAAAAAGCUCGUAUUUGAAUCUGUGUGUCACGCUGUCGGUUCACCGCUCGCGGUGUUUAACUGAUACGCUCGUGACACGUCCUACCGGUGGGCCUGUCCUUGUGCCGCUCGUCGGUGCUUGGCGCGGGUCCUACUUUAAUCCCAUCGCGGUGCUCUUUACCGAGUGUCGGGGUGGGCCGGUACGUUUACUUUGAACAAAUUAGAGUGCUUAAAGCAGGCAAUUAUCGUCUGAAUACUGUGUGCAUGGAAUAAUGGAAUAGGACCUCGGUUCUAUUUUGUUGGUUUUCGGAACUCCGAGGUAAUGAUUAAUAGGGACAGAUGGGGGCAUUCGUAUUGCGACGUUAGAGUGAAAUUCUUGGAUCGUCGCAAGACGAACAGAAGCGAAAGCAUUUGCCA